RNAcentral lists this ribosomal RNA (302 nucleotides) under Lasiodiplodia parva. RNAcentral describes it as "eukaryotic LSU rRNA". It matches the Rfam family "Eukaryotic large subunit ribosomal RNA", at positions 376 to 670 of the family's 3401-position model. The record is from RNAcentral. Lineage: Eukaryota; Fungi; Ascomycota; Dothideomycetes; Botryosphaeriales; Botryosphaeriaceae.
AUGGGCCUUCAUCCGAGCACACCCUUUGGUAGAAUUAAAAAGUACGUGAAAGGCGAGAAGAAAGGGAAGCGCUUGCAACCAGACUUGUCCGCAGUUGCUCAGCCGGUCUCCUGACCGGCGUACUCUUCUGCGGCCAGGCCAGCAUCAGUUCGGGCGGUCGGAUAAAGGCCUCGGGAAUGUAGCUCCUCUCGGGGAGUGUUAUAGCCCGGGGUGGAAUGCGGCCAGCCUGGACUGAGGAACUCGCUUCGGCAAGGAUGCUGGCGUAAUGGUUGUAAGCGGCCCGUCUUGAAACACGGACCAAG